CCUACGGGUGGCAGCAGUGAGGAAUAUUGGUCAAUGGACGAGAGUCUGAACCAGCCACGCAGCGUGAAGGAUGAAUGCUCUAUGGGUUGUAACCUUUUUUUAUAUGGGAAUAAAAUGUUCCACGUGUGGGAUUUUGUACGUACCAUAUGAAUAAGGAUCGGCUAACUCCGUGCCAGCAGCCGCGGUAAUACGGAGGAUCCGAGCGUUAUCCGGAUUUAUUGGGUUUAAAGGGAGCGUAGGUGGAUUGUUAAGUCAGUUGUGAAAGUUUGCGGCUCAACCGUAAAAUUGCAGUUGAAACUGGCAGUCUUGAGUACAGUAGAGGUGGGCGGAAUUCGUGGUGUAGCGGUGAAAUGCUUAGAUAUCACGAAGAACUCCGAUUGCGAAGGCAGUUCACUGGACUGCAACUGACACUGAGGCUCGAAAGUGUGGGUAGCAAACAGGAUUAGAUACCCCUGUAGUC
RNAcentral lists this ribosomal RNA (460 nucleotides) under uncultured bacterium. RNAcentral describes it as "partial 16S ribosomal RNA". It matches the Rfam family "Bacterial small subunit ribosomal RNA", at positions 338 to 795 of the family's 1533-position model. The record is from RNAcentral.